UACGUAGGGGGCAAGCGUUGUCCGGAAUCAUUGGGCGUAAAGAGCGUGUAGGCGGCUUGGUAAGUCCGCUGUGAAAGUCCAGGGCUCAACCCUGGAAAGCCGGUGGAAACUGUCAAGCUUGAGUCCGGAAGAGGCGAGUGGAAUUCCUGGUGUAGCGGUGAAAUGCGCAGAUAUCAGGAGGAACACCAAUGGCGAAGGCAGCUCGCUGGGACGGUACUGACGCUGAGGUGCGAAAGCGUGGGGAGCAAACAGG
RNAcentral lists this ribosomal RNA (253 nucleotides) under uncultured bacterium. RNAcentral describes it as "partial 16S ribosomal RNA". It matches the Rfam family "Bacterial small subunit ribosomal RNA", at positions 524 to 776 of the family's 1533-position model. The record is from RNAcentral.